UUUUCUAGAUAAGCUGCGCCACAAGAAAC
RNAcentral lists this non-coding RNA (29 nucleotides) under Mus musculus (house mouse). The record is from RNAcentral. RNAcentral also lists the same sequence under 1 other name. Lineage: Eukaryota; Metazoa; Chordata; Mammalia; Rodentia; Muridae.